Molecule: ribosomal RNA, 253 nt
Filed under: uncultured bacterium
Lineage: Bacteria
Description: partial 16S ribosomal RNA
Rfam family: Bacterial small subunit ribosomal RNA
Source: RNAcentral
UACGAAGGGGGCUAGCGUUGCUCGGAAUUACUGGGCGUAAAGCGCACGUAGGCGGAUUGUUAAGUCGGGGGUGAAAUCCUGGAGCUCAACUCCAGAACUGCCUUCGAUACUGGCAGACUCGAGUCCGGGAGAGGUGAGUGGAACUGCGAGUGUAGAGGUGAAAUUCGUAGAUAUUCGCAAGAACACCAGUGGCGAAGGCGGCUCACUGGCCCGGUACUGACGCUGAGGUGCGAAAGCGUGGGGAGCGAACAGG